UGGGGAAUCUUGCGCAAUGGGCGAAAGCCUGACGCAGCCAUGCCGCGUGAGUGAUGAAGGCCUUAGGGUUGUAAAACUCUUUCACCGGGGACGAUAAUGACGGUACCCGGAGAAGAAGCCCCGGCUAACUUCGUGCCAGCAGCCGCGGUAAUACGAAGGGGGCUAGCGUUGCUCGGAAUUACUGGGCGUAAAGGGCGCGUAGGCGGAUCAGCAAGUUGGGGGUGAAAGCCCGGGGCUCAACCUCGGAAUUGCCUUCAAAACUGCUGAUCUAGAGUACGGGAGAGGUGUGUGGAACUCCGAGUGUAGAGGUGAAAUUCGUAGAUAUUCGGAAGAACACCAGUGGCGAAGGCGACACACUGGCCCGUUACUGACGCUGAGGCGCGAAAGCGUGGGGAGCAAACAGGAUUAGAUACCCUGGUAGUCCACGCUGUAAACGAUGAUUGCUAGUUGUCGGCAGGCAUGCCUGUCGGUGAC
Molecule: ribosomal RNA, 474 nt
Filed under: uncultured bacterium
Lineage: Bacteria
Description: partial 16S ribosomal RNA
Rfam family: Bacterial small subunit ribosomal RNA
Source: RNAcentral